AAUAAAAUGGCUGAGUUAUAUUAAGCGAUAAAUUGUAAAUUUAUUUACGAGAAAUUUUCUCUUUUAUUA
This 69-nucleotide transfer RNA is filed under the name Trigonodes hyppasia. Its description in RNAcentral is "tRNA-Tyr". Lineage: Eukaryota; Metazoa; Arthropoda; Insecta; Lepidoptera; Erebidae. The record is from RNAcentral.